CACCGCGGUUAGACGAGAGGCCCAAGUUGAUAGCCACCGGCGUAAAGCGUGGUUAAAGAAAUUGAAACACUAAGACUAAAUGCUUUUGCUGCUGUUAUACGCACACAAAAGUUAGAAGCCCGACUACGAAGGUGGUCUUAAUACAUCUUGAACCCACGAAAGCUAUGAAA
This 170-nucleotide ribosomal RNA is filed under the name Apistus carinatus (ocellated waspfish). RNAcentral describes it as "partial 12S ribosomal RNA". The record is from RNAcentral. Lineage: Eukaryota; Metazoa; Chordata; Actinopteri; Perciformes; Apistidae.